RNAcentral lists this long non-coding RNA (588 nucleotides) under Brassica napus (rape). RNAcentral describes it as "long non-coding RNA (BNAP_LNC018420)". Lineage: Eukaryota; Viridiplantae; Streptophyta; Magnoliopsida; Brassicales; Brassicaceae. The record is from RNAcentral.
UCUGUUGUGGCUUCCAUCUAGUCCACUCUUAUGCCGUUCUUGGCAUGUGCUCGUCUUCCGGAUCAGUGGGCUUCGCCCCUAGCUGUCUGUUAAAAUCUCGUGGAGAUUUGUUGUUUUGUGGCUUCAUUCCUAGGCUUUCAAGGGUUGAUGAAGACCUAGCCGCUUUCGAGAGUUCUCGUCUGAAUCUGUGAUUGAUUCUAACUUCUGGUUUAUGAAGCCUUGUUACUUGGUUCUUGAGGUGUUUCCUCAUUGUGCUAGGAGGAGGUGGUUUAGCGGUGGUCUGGCCGAGGGCAUUCACGUUAAACAGCUGUCAUAGAUUCUCUAAAAGCUAGUCAUCCCUGCUGUUGUUGUUAGACUUUUUCUGGAGGGUUAGAAGUUUAGUUGCUUGUGUUAAGAGUGUAGUUUGCUUCGUUCUUGUUUGCUACCCCGCAGUGGGUUCUAGUGUCCGGAGAUAUCUCUGUCUUCUACCGGUUUAGCUAACCACGGAGAAUCAUAUUAUCCGUUGGUGUUGUAUGAUCCUACUUUGGUUUAAUAAAAUAUGUUGAAGGAAAAAAAAAAAGAAAAAAAAAAUUCACAAACUAACCAAAG